RNAcentral lists this microRNA precursor (86 nucleotides) under Otolemur garnettii (small-eared galago). RNAcentral's name for it is "miRNA (ENSOGAG00000024119.1)". The record is from RNAcentral. Lineage: Eukaryota; Metazoa; Chordata; Mammalia; Primates; Galagidae.
GGGAGGGGGUGUGUGUGUGAGUGAGAGUGUGUGUGUGUGUGUGUGUGUCAGAUCCUGGAGGGCAGGGCUGAUGCACUUGCCACAUG